RNAcentral lists this long non-coding RNA (3655 nucleotides) under Homo sapiens (human). RNAcentral describes it as "HSALNT0234001". The record is from RNAcentral. Lineage: Eukaryota; Metazoa; Chordata; Mammalia; Primates; Hominidae.
CAAAAGUCCUAGGUUUUUGUUUUCUUCCCAAGAUUGAUUUCCUACCAGUUACGUCUACUAUUUCCCAUCCUCUCUGGCAAAAUUGCAAGGAGUGGCAUCAGCACAUCUUUGUACAGUAGGCGAAUAUAUUUGGAAUGCUUAUUUCUGAGAGCUGUUGAAGACGGCUAACAAUUUUACCCCACGCAGAAGGACUGACAAUAAAUUUAGGAGUGGCAAAUGGAACCACUGUUCUGUUUCCCUCUCAGUAAAUAAAUAACUGCAAAACCUGUACUCCAAUACCAGAGCGUCAAAUCCAUGGCGCUCUGUUGAUUAACACCGAAAAUGUCUUUGUGAAGAUGAUGCAUUUAGAAGAGUCCUAAGGCUCGCACCAGAAGCUGACACUGAAGGUUUAUUUUAAUGUAGCACAAAUCAGAGCGAACGACGUGAAAAGAGUUCUGUUUCUCCUGGAAGGAUGCCACUUGUUUCUACUCCAGGGGAAAUGUCUUCCAAGCUCUUUACCAAAUCUGCAAGCUGAACCAACUCAACUGUGGCUGCCUUGCCCACCUGAAGACCUCAGGAUCCACCAGCAGCCCAAGACACCUCGGAAGCUGUUUCAAGGACAAGCGUCGCCUGCACACGUCAGCACAAAUGGGAACAUGAUGAGUGAUGCUGCCUGGAGUUAAAGGAGGCCAGGAGCACCAGAAGCUGGAGGAGGCCGGGGUGGAUUCUCGCCUGGAGGCUUCAGUGGGAGCACGAGCUCCCGACACUUCGGUUCCAUCUCUUGUUUAAAGGCACCCAGUUUCUCAUCAUUUGUUACAGCACCAUGGAAAACCCACACACAAGUGAAGCCCCGACCCACCUCCCAAGUGCCCAUCUGAGCACCCCUCGUGGACUCUGAGCAGGGGGUUGCCAUCACCAACUCCAAGUCUUGCAGCCCCUCUUCCCUUCAGUCUGGCUGCCACCUUCUUCAUUGCCCUGGAAAAAAAUAAUGAAGUUUCACCAUUUAAAGGGUUUCAGUGCAGCUUGCUAUGGGAACACUGGAGAGUAACACAAAUGGCCAAUUGUCCUAAUAGCCACCAUGGAUUGGAUGGAUGCUAACAACAGGCUCACAGUUCUCCUUCUGUUGCCUCCUUUUAUCCACAUGAGAAUCAAACAAGAUCUUCUAGGAAUCUAAAAAUGUGUGUGAGAUUUCACCUGUAAAAGCUGAGUUAUUCUGAAUCUGCGUUUUCCUGAAGAUUUUUCUUUGUGUGGUCAGCCUUCUUGGAAAAAUCCAGAAGCCACCAUCAACUUACAACCCUGCAUGAAUAAAUGACUACUGAUUAAAUGAAGCCUUUGAUGAAGUGCAUGCAGUUUGUAGCUUGAUUCAUGGGAAUACUCAUCACAGACUGAAAGUGUAACCCAGGGUCUCUGGGUUUUUGGGAACGCGCUGUGUAAAAGUAUCUACUUGUAACUGUUACUCCCUGAGUUGUUGUUGUUUUAGAAAGUUCCAAGAAGAAGCUUAGCCUUGGAAAAAACAAAAACUGGUUGAAUCCAGAAGUGGAGAUGAAUUUUGGCCAACGCUCCUCACUGCCACACUAAAAACCCUGCUCAGAGAGGAGCUUAUUCACCAUGUUCUAUUCAUGCAAUGUGUGUGGAAACAUGAUCUACGACAGCAUGCGUGCUGCCUUCACCCUACCUCUACAUACAAUGACUCAUUUAACCUGCUGAAUAAAAGCCCUGUUUUCACCUUUGCUGGGGGAGGUGCCGCUUUGGGAACUAUUCGCAGUGUCCUCUUCACUUUUUGCAAGUAAUAGAAUACCCUUGUUAAAUCCUACUUGGUUGUGGUCAUUAUAGUGUCACCCGCCAAGCAAUCGAUCCCACCCAGGGUUAACAAAUGCGGGAUAACAAAUGUCAGGUUUUAGGCAAGUUACUUACUCGCUCAAAAUAUGAAGAUAUAAGUUACCAUCAGUUGUCAAUCAUGGUGAGCUUUGCUCUGCUGCAGUAACAGACAAUCGUAACUCUUAGUAGCUCUAAAUGACCAGUUUAAAUAACACCUCGUCUUUGUAGUUUUGAUAGCGACAGGAGGCAGCCAAAUGCCUAGGCAGGUAGGGGCAGGUUCCCCGUGAAACUCCAUCUCCAAGCCGAAGACAGUUUAGAGCCUGAAAGCCAAGCUCCACAUUAAAUCCUCCGACUGGAUUGAGAACUUGUCUUCCUGUUUAGUGUGCUUUUCUCUCAUUGGUCCCUGCCAUUCACCUAUUUCAUAUACACCUAACCUUUUCUAAUUGGUUUUCUAUACUGUCAUGCCCAACUUUGAGUGGUCUUUGCUUUAACCUUUUCUACAUAUUCACAAACCGAUCAGCAUGCACCCCCCAUUCUGAGUCCAUGAAAGGCUCUGGAUCUAGCCACACAGAGGAACUUUCCCAUCUUCAGGUAGGGGGGCCACCACCAACAUGUCCCCUCUCCACCAAAAGCUGUUUUCAUUGUUCAAUAAAAUUCUUCUCUGCCUUCCUCACCCUUCAAUGUCCAGCAUAUCCUCAUUCUUCUUGGGCAUGGUACAAGAGCACAGGAACCACUGAAGGUGGGUACAAGUUAUAAUACAGGCAAGUGGGGGCAUGCCAGCUUUGGCUGAGUGAGGACCAGGUCGAGCAUUACUGUCAGGGGAUCCCUGGCUUGCAAAGUGACCAAGAAGAAAAGUCUUACAUUAGUUUGGCUAGGGUGAGGCCCUGACCUCUGUUACCUUCACUCGGCCAGCUCACUGAUGGUGACUCUGUAUUGAUAGGCACUCCACCCAGAAAUUGUGCACUGACAUUUCCUGGCCAACGAAAGUUACUCAACUAUGCCUGAUUUUAAACUGCAAUCCUAACAUGACCCAGAAGGUGAAGAGCCAGAAAUAUUUGAUGACUACACUGAGCCCACUUUCCCUCACAGGCUUGUUUUGCAGGGUUAAUGAUUUAAGCCAUGUGAUGUAUGGUUCACAGGGUGCCUGGCACCUGCCAAGUAUUCUUCCCCCAGGAGUUGGCAGGUCCUUGAAGGCACUCUCUGGUUUAGAUAUUCUUAGCUCCUUCCACUGUUCCUCAUGCUACAUUAUCUUAAAUCUUUUUAUUUUUACCAUCCUGGUUCGUCUCCUCUAAAAAUCCUACCCAAAUGUCCCUGUUAAUUCAUGAUCCACCAGAAACAAACAAUCUUCCAGCUGAAUACAGAACCCAAGAGAACAAAAUGAUCUCCUUCCUUCUUCUAGAUUAUGCAUCCUAAAAUCUGACUGUUUUUUCUUUUCUGGCAAUCAGAGUGCACUGUUGAAUUUACUGUCAAUUAAACAUUCUCCAUCUCUUCUAUGUAUUUUUCUGUAUUUAGACAUUUUUCUCCAAUCCCAUACUUGUGUCAUUAGCUUUUCAGUCACAAAUAAAAGAAGUUUCACAUUGUUCCUUAUUAAAGAGCAUCUGUUUGACUUGGCCCAUUCUUCCCAGCAGUUAUAAUUCAGACCAAGGUUGUUCUCAUCCAACAUUCAAACAAACACUAUGGAAUGGGAGAGGUAUGAAAGCAUUCAUCCCGACAAACAAUGGUCUCACCAUUUUGGAAGGCAUCUUUUUUACUUCAUUUUUUAACAGCUGUAUUAAUAUGUAACUGAGGUACAAUAAACUGAAUACAUUUAAAGGGUACAAUUUUUAUAAGUGUGGACCUUUGAAUACACCCAUGGAAC